Molecule: ribosomal RNA, 433 nt
Filed under: uncultured bacterium
Lineage: Bacteria
Description: partial 16S ribosomal RNA
Rfam family: Bacterial small subunit ribosomal RNA
Source: RNAcentral
AACGAACGCUGGCGGCAUGCCUAACACAUGCAAGUCGAACGAGACCUUCGGGUCCAGUGGCGCACGGGUGCGUAACGCGUGGGAACCUGCCCUUAGGUUCGGAAUAACUCCCCGAAAGGGGUGCUAAUACCGGAUAAUGUCUUCGGACCAAAGAUUUAUCGCCUUUGGAUGGGCCCGCGUCGGAUUAGCUAGUUGGUAGGGUAAAAGCCUACCAAGGCGACGAUCCAUAGCUGGUCUGAGAGGAUGAUCAGCCACACUGGGACUGAGACACGGCCCAGACUCCUACGGGAGGCAGCAGUGGGGAAUAUUGGACAAUGGGCGAAAGCCUGAUCCAGCAAUGCCGCGUGAGUGAUGAAGGCCUUAGGGUUGUAAAGCUCUUUUACCCGGGAUGAUAAUGACAGUACCGGGAGAAUAAGCUCCGGCUAACUCCGUG